RNAcentral lists this long non-coding RNA (289 nucleotides) under Manihot esculenta (cassava). RNAcentral's name for it is "long non-coding RNA (MESC_LNC002268)". Lineage: Eukaryota; Viridiplantae; Streptophyta; Magnoliopsida; Malpighiales; Euphorbiaceae. The record is from RNAcentral.
UUUGCGAUAAUAUUUGUCUUUUUUUUUUUUCUUCAAAAUUAUGUUAUUGAUGUAAGCAAUACAAACUCAGCAUACAAAGCCAUAAAGAUAUAGACAACAAACUUAAGCCUUGCCCAAUAACAUCAACAAGGAAAGCCUCUAAAACCCACAAAGAAAACCCAACCCCGGUGAAGUACAGAAGCCUUAAAGACCCAAAGAAAGAACUUGACCCGAAAGGCAAACCUGUUUAUCUCUAUGCAGCGCCCCUUUAGCCAUUGAAAACUGGUCACUGAAAAAUGCCAGCAGAGGG